GGUUCGUUGGUCUAGCGGUAUGAUUCUCGCUUAGGGAAGCAACCCUGAGUCAAAAUGCGAGAGGUCCCGGGUUCAAUCCCCGGACGAACCC
Molecule: transfer RNA, 91 nt
Filed under: Cercophora newfieldiana
Lineage: Eukaryota; Fungi; Ascomycota; Sordariomycetes; Sordariales; Lasiosphaeriaceae
Description: tRNA-Pro
Source: RNAcentral